GUGCCAGCAGCCCGGUAAUACGUAGUGGCAAGCGUUAUCCGGAAUUAUUGGGCGUAAAGCGCGCGUAGGCGGUUUUUUAAGUCUGAUGUCGAAAGCCCACGGCUCAACCGUGGAGGGUCAUUGGAAACUGGAAAACUUGAGUGCGGAAGAGGAAAGUGGAAUUCCAUGUGUAGCGGUGAAAUGCGCAGAGAUAUGGAGGAACACCAGUGGCGAAGGCGACUUUCUGGUCUGUAACUGACGCUGAUGUGCGAAAGCGUGGGGAUCAA
RNAcentral lists this ribosomal RNA (266 nucleotides) under uncultured Staphylococcus sp. Its description in RNAcentral is "partial 16S ribosomal RNA". It matches the Rfam family "Bacterial small subunit ribosomal RNA", at positions 505 to 771 of the family's 1533-position model. Lineage: Bacteria; Bacillati; Bacillota; Bacilli; Caryophanales; Staphylococcaceae. The record is from RNAcentral.